GACGAAGGAUGCAAGCGUUAUCCGGAUUCAUUGGGUUUAAAGGGAGCGUAGGUGGGUUUGUAAGUCAGUGGUGAAAGCCGGUCGCUUAACGAUCGAAUUGCCAUUGAUACUGCAGACCUUGAGUACAGAUGCUGUGGGCGGAAUAUGACAUGUAGUGGUGAAAUACAUAGAGAUGUCAUAGAACACCGAUUGCGAAGGCAGCUCACAAAACUGUAACUGACACUGAGGCUCGAAAGUGCGGGGAUCAAACAGG
This 253-nucleotide ribosomal RNA is filed under the name uncultured bacterium. RNAcentral describes it as "partial 16S ribosomal RNA". It matches the Rfam family "Bacterial small subunit ribosomal RNA", at positions 524 to 776 of the family's 1533-position model. RNAcentral also lists the same sequence under 2 other names. The record is from RNAcentral.